RNAcentral lists this unclassified non-coding RNA (277 nucleotides) under sea anemone metagenome. RNAcentral's name for it is "partial contains small subunit ribosomal RNA and internal transcribed spacer 1". The stretch from base 1 to 155 matches the Rfam family "Eukaryotic small subunit ribosomal RNA", at positions 1678 to 1831 of the family's 1831-position model. The record is from RNAcentral.
GCAUCUACCGAUUGAAUGGAGAGGUAAAAUCUCCGGACUAUGACGCGUUGAGGUCAAACCUAAUGCAGUCGUGGGAAGUGGAUUAAACCUUUCCAUUUAGAGGAAGAUGAAGUCGUAACAAGGUUUCCGUAGGUGAACCUGCAGAAGGAUCAAGAUCGGAAGAGGGUCGUUGAGGGAAAGUGUGUAGUUCUCGGCGGUCGCCGGAGCAUCAAUAAGACAAUGUGAAAAUUUUGCUCCCCACGUUCCGACCCAUUCUUGUUCUUACCUGCUUCUUGUU